GAUGAACGCUGGCGGCGUGCCUAAUACAUGCAAGUCGAGCGAACGGACGAGAAGCUUGCUUCUCUGAUGUUAGCGGCGGACGGGUGAGUAACACGUGGAUAACCUACCUAUAAGACUGGGAUAACUUCGGGAAACCGGAGCUAAUACCGGAUAAUAUUUUGAACCGCAUGGUUCAAAAGUGAAAGACGGUCUUGCUGUCACUUAUAGAUGGAUCCGCGCUGCAUUAGCUAGUUGGUAAGGUAACGGCUUACCAAGGCAACGAUGCAUAGCCGACCUGAGAGGGUGAUCGGCCACACUGGAGCUGAGACACGGUCCAGACUCCUACGGGAGGCAGCAGUAUGGAAUCUUCCGCAAUGGGCGAAAGCCUGACGGAGCAACGCCGCGUGAGUGAUGAAGGUCUUCGGAUCGUAAAACUCUGUUAUUAGGGAAGAACAUAUGUGUAAGUAACUGUGCACAUCUUGACGGUACCUAAUCAGAAAGCCACGGCUAACUACGUG
RNAcentral lists this ribosomal RNA (497 nucleotides) under uncultured bacterium. RNAcentral's name for it is "partial 16S ribosomal RNA". It matches the Rfam family "Bacterial small subunit ribosomal RNA", at positions 28 to 507 of the family's 1533-position model. The record is from RNAcentral.